UACCCUGCAACUCCUAUCCCUACCUCCUCGCGGUACUGGCCGGGGUAAGAGUAACCUUAGGGAAGAUCUGGUAACCAACCCCGGUGGAAACUUUGGACGUAUGCUGACAGGAAAGG
Aedes aegypti (yellow fever mosquito) is the source of this 116-nucleotide non-coding RNA. The record is from Rfam. NCBI's taxonomy places the organism in Eukaryota, Metazoa, Arthropoda, Insecta, Diptera, Culicidae.